AAAACCGUGGACGUCUCAUAAACCACUAACACACACACACGCAAACACAGCUUAUUACCAUGGAAACCCAGCAAGACCAAUUUCCAGCAUACAAAAAAAUGUGAGCGAACAAAGCCGCUGUUCCUGCUUUGCAAAAUAAAUGUUCGUGUGCACACCGACAGAAAGUCCAACAGAAACCGUACGCCAAAAUACAGAAACAACCUCGAGGGUCUUUUCAGUUUGAAAUGACGUUUGUUUUUUCUUGUGUGCGGAAGAUGCAGAGCCGCCAAAGGAGAAGCGAGGCCCCGAUUUCCUCCCCCCCUCCUGGCAUCAUCCACUCGCUCGGUUCAUCUGUGCUCAGGCUCUUGAGGGGUCACGGCGGCCAACUGUGUUUCCAAAGAGAGCGAGCGGGCCAGGCCAUAUAUGGGCGUCGCUGUACGGCGGCUUUGAGGAAGUCGGCCGUCAGGGCGAAGAGCUCCCUCCUCUCCUCGCUGGUGGAACGAGAACUACACGAUCCGGCGUAGGGAGCUGUGCGAGCCCAUUCGCAGAAACACGCACGCCGCAUCAGCCCAGCCAAGUUGGCAGAGAGGGAGAAAAGGCGACGCCAUUCCUGAACAGGCCGUUUUGUUCUGCCGCUGACAUUUCGAGUAGAAGGAGCGUCUUUGUGAGGCCGAAGAAAGGACCAAACUGAGACAACGGGGGGUGCGUCAUUUCUUUACACUGAGCACCAUUGACGGCUUUAGAAGUCCAAUAUACAUGUUAACUGCGAAGGCUGGCACUGAAGGAGUUAAUUUACCAUUUCUGUGAUACAAUUAAGUGACUGCUAUUGAGGGGUAACACAUUUUGUUUGUGUUCACAUUUUCAAUGUUUAUUAACCAACUGACUAACAGGCCGUAGCGCCGGCGCGGUUAAGAACUGAAAACCUCGGCACUCGCCGCCGCUUAGUAUCAGGGACAGCUGUGUGUGCUGACAUUUAACAGGACAGCUCUGCAGCUAUGUGCACCCAUGUGCCCGUCAACAGUGAAACAAAACACCCCC
This is a long non-coding RNA of Phyllopteryx taeniolatus (common seadragon), 1017 nucleotides long. RefSeq lists it as uncharacterized. The record is from RefSeq and is a predicted model, not a curated record. The transcript has 3 exons. Lineage: Eukaryota; Metazoa; Chordata; Actinopteri; Syngnathiformes; Syngnathidae.